UAAUAAUAAUAAUAAUAAUGAUGAUGAUGAUGAUGAUGAUGUUUGCUUUGCAUUUGCCCUCACAACUUCCCUGCGAGGUACCUGAGAUGCUUGCUAUAUAAAUGGGGAACAGAAGCCUUCCCUAUGUGGAAAGACUGUAGCUGAAAAAUAUAUCCAGCAUCAUCAUCAUCAUCAUCAUCAUGAUCUUCUUCU
This is a non-coding RNA of Podarcis lilfordi (Lilford's wall lizard), 192 nucleotides long. NCBI's taxonomy places the organism in Eukaryota, Metazoa, Chordata, Lepidosauria, Squamata, Lacertidae. The record is from the annotation of a GenBank genome assembly.